AUGAACGCUGGCGGCGUGCCUAAUACAUGCAAGUCGAGCGAACAGACGAGGAGCUUGCUCCUCUGACGUUAGCGGCGGACGGGUGAGUAACACGUGGAUAACCUACCUAUAAGACUGGGAUAACUUCGGGAAACCGGAGCUAAUACCGGAUAAUAUAUUGAACCGCAUGGUUCAAUAGUGAAAGACGGUUUUGCUGUCACUUAUAGAUGGAUCCGCGCCGCAUUAGCUAGUUGGUAAGGUAACGGCUUACCAAGGCGACGAUGCGUAGCCGACCUGAGAGGGUGAUCGGCCACACUGGAACUGAGACACGGUCCAGACUCCUACGGGAGGCAGCAGUAGGGAAUCUUCCGCAAUGGGCGAAAGCCUGACGGAGCAACGCCGCGUGAGUGAUGAAGGUCUUCGGAUCGUAAAACUCUGUUAUUAGGGAAGAACAAAUGUGUAAGUAACUAUGCAUGUCUUGACGGUACCUAAUCAGAAAGCCACGGCUAACUACGUG
This 496-nucleotide ribosomal RNA is filed under the name uncultured bacterium. RNAcentral describes it as "partial 16S ribosomal RNA". It matches the Rfam family "Bacterial small subunit ribosomal RNA", at positions 29 to 507 of the family's 1533-position model. The record is from RNAcentral.